AAUAAGCGGAGGAAAAGAAACUAACAAGGAUUCCCCUAGUAACGGCGAGUGAAGCGGGAAGAGCUCAAAUUUGAAAUCUGGUGGCCUCAGGUCAUCCGAGUUGUAAUCUAUAGAAGUGUUUUCCGUGCUGGCUCAUGUACAAGUCCCUUGGAACAGGGCGUCAUAGAGGGUGAGAAUCCCGUCCUUGACAUGAACUACCAGUGCUCUGUGAUACAUUUUCAACGAGUCGAGUUGUUUGGGAAUGCAGCUCAAAAUGGGUGGUAAAUUCCAUCUAAAGCUAAAUAUUGGCGAGAGACCGAUAGCGAACAAGUACCGUGAGGGAAAGAUGAAAAGCACUUUGGAAAGAGAGUUAAACAGUAUGUGAAAUUGUUGAAAGGGAAACGAUUGAAGUCAGUCGUGCUCUUUGGAUUCAGCCGGUUCUGCCGGUGUACUUCCUUUGAGUGGGGUCAACAUCAGUUUUGAUCGCUGGAUAAAGGCUGGAGGAACGUAGUACCCUCGGGUAAACUUAUAGCCUCCUGUCACAUACAGUGGUUGGGACUGAGGAACGCAGCACGCCUUUAUGGCCGGGAUUCGUCCACGUACGUGCUUAGGAUGUUGACAUAAUGGCUUUAAACGACCCGUCUUGAA
RNAcentral lists this ribosomal RNA (627 nucleotides) under Filobasidium magnum. RNAcentral describes it as "eukaryotic LSU rRNA". It matches the Rfam family "Eukaryotic large subunit ribosomal RNA", at positions 45 to 658 of the family's 3401-position model. Lineage: Eukaryota; Fungi; Basidiomycota; Tremellomycetes; Filobasidiales; Filobasidiaceae. The record is from RNAcentral.